Molecule: ribosomal RNA, 1249 nt
Filed under: metagenome
Description: SSU rRNA
Rfam family: Eukaryotic small subunit ribosomal RNA
Source: RNAcentral
UUUACAAUCUUACUGUAUUGCAAUGAGGAAAAUUUAAAAACCUUAUCGAGGAACAAGUGGAGGGCAAGUCUGGUGCCAGCAGCCGCGGUAAUUCCAGCUCCACUAGCGUAUAUUAAAAUUGUUGCAGUUAAAAAGCUCGUAGUUGAACCUCUGGCUGUGUGCUGUUCUGGACUUGUUCAAGCAGCAUGCAGUCAUCCAUCUGCAAACCUUCUCGGGCAUUCAGUUGUUCGGUUAGGAGAGUAGAUAUUUUACUGUGAAAAAAUUAGAGUGUUUAAGGCAGACAAUGGUUUGAAUACAUUAGCAUGGAAUAAUAGAACAGGACACUCGUUCAUUUCGUUGGUUAUUGGACUUGUGUAAUGAUUAAUAGGGACAGUUGGGGGCAUUUGUAUUUAAUUGUCAGAGGUGAAAUUCUUGGAUUUAUUAAAGACAAACUUAUGCGAAAGCAUUUGCCAAGGAUGUUUUCAUUAAUCAAGAACGAAAGUUAGGGGAUCAAAGACGAUCAGAUACCGUCCUAGUCUUAACUAUAAACUAUUCCGACUCGGUUUUGGCAUGGCGCAUAUAACCAUGUCAGCGCCGUAUGAGAAAUCAAAGUUACGGUUCCGGGGGGAGUAUGGUCGCAAGACUGAAACUUAAAGGAAUUGACGGAAGGGCACGCAAGGUGUGGAGCCUGCGGCUUAAUUUGACCCAACACGGGGAAACUUACCAGGUUAAAACAUUGGUGGGAUUGACAGAUUGAGAGCUCUUUCUUGAUUCAAUGGGUGGUGGUGCAUGGCCGUUCUUAGUUCGUGGAGUGAUUUGUCUGCUUAAUUGCGAUAACGCGACGAGACCAUUACCUGCUUACUAGACUCGUGAUUUGCAUCGCGAGCUCUUCUUAGAGGGACUUUGGAAUUUCAAUUCCAAGGAAGUUGGUGGCAAUAACAGGUCUGUGAUGCCCCUAGACAUCCUGGGCCGCACGCGUUCUACAAUGAUGCAUUCAGAAAGUUUUCCUGGCCUGAAAAGGUUUCGGGUAAUCUUGAAAAUAUGCAUCGUGAUAGGGAUAGAUCUUUGCAAUUAUAGAUCUUGAACGAGGAAUACCUUGUAAGUGCAAGUCAUCAGCUUGUACUGAAUCGGUCCCUGCCUUUUGUACACACCGCCCGUCGCUUCUACUGACGAAUGCUCCGGUGAACCUUCUGGACUGUGUCGGGUCUCGGCCCGACCGGGAAGUUAUGUAAACCAAUGCAUUUGGAAGAAGAAGUAGUCGUAACAAGGU